GAAACCCUACGGAGGCAGCAGUGGGGAAUAUUGCGCAAUGGGGGCAACCCUGACGCAGCAACGCCGCGUGCAGGAAGAAGGUCUUCGGAUUGUAAACUGUUGUCGCAGGGGAAGAAGACAGUGACGGUACCCUGUGAGAAAGUCACGGCUAACUACGUGCCAGCAGCCGCGGUAAUACGUAGGUGACAAGCGUUGUCCGGAUUUACUGGGUGUAAAGGGCGCGUAGGCGGGAUAGCAAGUCAGUCGUGAAAUGCCGAGGCUUAACCUCGGAGCUGCGAUUGAAACUGUUAGUCUUGAGUAUCGGG
This 305-nucleotide ribosomal RNA is filed under the name uncultured bacterium. Its description in RNAcentral is "bacterial SSU rRNA". It matches the Rfam family "Bacterial small subunit ribosomal RNA", at positions 333 to 653 of the family's 1533-position model. The record is from RNAcentral.